UUUAAUAAAAUAAGUUACACUCCUUUGUGUUACUAAAAACCCUAAAACAUCUACACACCUUCAGCAGCCGACAUCCCCUUUCACCCCUCUGCUUUCUCUGUCCGAUCAUCGGCGACCGGUGUCGGUUACCGGCCGGCUACCGGGGUCCCGUGCUUGCUGGCAUGUCACCCCACACAACCCCAAGCUCCCUCUUCAUCUUAACCCGUCGCACACACCGCUACCCUGUCCAAAGAGAGAUGGAGAGAUCGGAGAACAGGAGAGGGGCCGAUCACCUAUGUCACGGCAACAGAAGCAGCAAGUGGCGGCGGCAAUGGAUUCCGACAACUGUUUUUCAGGUAAAAUGUACCGGAGGAGCCGGCGACCGACUUACCGGCGGUGAUGAUGGUGGUGGUCGUCAGACGUGGCUACAGAACACGGGGGGGGGGGGUGGCGGCGACUUUAAUUCCUUCCGACAGGUUCACCGUGAAGACACCCGACGGCGGUGGUGGCUGCCGCCAGAGCUUCGUUCAAGUUCAAAUUUGGUUCUAGUGCUUAGAUUCAGAUUUCAGAUUUUAUUCGGUAUGGCUUCGGGUGUUACGGAUCAGAUUCAGGAACGGUCAACAGUUAACCCGGUCAAAAUUAGCAGUUUCCGGUGUCGUUUCAGCGGGUUGUUCAGGUCUCGUUUCGGGUCAAGUAGCUUCGUUACAGGUGCAUAAAUGUAUCUUUAUUUGGGCAAAAUGGGAGGCACUCAGGCUGCCAAAUGGGAUCUGGGCUGGCAUAAUAUAUUGGAGUGGAUUUCAGCUUGUUAAACAAUUGGCGUGCUGACGCAGAUGAACUACAGUCCAACAGAAGCAAUGUGACAAACUGCUAUGAACCUUUUUGACUUGCAAGACUACACGUAUGUUAAGCUGGAUUGCCUUGAUGAGUUGGAGAUUACAAAAUUCGGUAACAUGAAACCUGGAAUGGGUUUUUUGAAGCUUAUAUUGGCAAAGUCAUGUAUGCUAAAGAAAUUGCAGUGAUAUGAAGAAGUUGACUGGUAAGGCAUCUUGCAGAAUUUGCCACCAGAACUUCAGCGCUACUGUCACAGGUUAGGCGUUUCGCCAUAUUGUGCCUCUUCGACUCCAACUGGUGCCUACACAAAGAAGAAUACGAAUUCAGAAAGUAUGUGUCCAGCAGGCUGGUCUUUGGGCAUAACUGAUGGCUUUAGUGGUGAGUGAUCCAUGCUGUGAUUAUUUCAGACAAAAAAAUGAGUGAACUAUGAAGACUGCUUCUCAAGUUCUCUUUAUAUAGAACACAACUGCAGCAGUUAUGUAGGAACAUGGACAGAAAAACUGCUCAAACGUGGGAUGGUGCUGCUCAGAACUGCUGUUCGGUUCAGUUAUGUAGGAACAUGGACAGAAACUGCUCAAACGUGGGAUGGUGCUGCUCAGAACUGAUGUCAACAACGGUUAAAAUUAAGAGUUUAUACGGCCCAGAUUUAAUCUCAGCAUAAUCGAACGGAUGAUAUUGAUUUCAACAGUAACUUCCACUUAAUGGGUUCCA
RNA transcript from Helianthus annuus (common sunflower), 1521 nucleotides. RefSeq lists it as uncharacterized. Lineage: Eukaryota; Viridiplantae; Streptophyta; Magnoliopsida; Asterales; Asteraceae. The transcript has 8 exons. The record is from RefSeq and is a predicted model, not a curated record.